RNAcentral lists this ribosomal RNA (505 nucleotides) under Klebsiella pneumoniae. RNAcentral's name for it is "partial 23S ribosomal RNA". It matches the Rfam family "Bacterial large subunit ribosomal RNA", at positions 2438 to 2925 of the family's 2925-position model. Lineage: Bacteria; Pseudomonadati; Pseudomonadota; Gammaproteobacteria; Enterobacterales; Enterobacteriaceae. The record is from RNAcentral.
AGGGCCAUCGCUCAACGGAUAAAAGGUACUCCGGGGAUAACAGGCUGAUACCGCCCAAGAGUUCAUAUCGACGGCGGUGUUUGGCACCUCGAUGUCGGCUCAUCACAUCCUGGGGCUGAAGUAGGUCCCAAGGGGAUGGCUGUUCGCCAUUUAAAGUGGUACGCGAGCUGGGUUUAGAACGUCGUGAGACAGUUCGGUCCCUAUCUGCCGUGGGCGCUGGAGAAUUGAGGGGGGCUGCUCCUAGUACGAGAGGACCGGAGUGGACGCAUCACUGGUGUUCGGGUUGUCAUGCCAAUGGCACUGCCCGGUAGCUAAAUGCGGAAGAGAUAAGUGCUGAAAGCAUCUAAGCACGAAACUUGCCCCGAGAUGAGUUCUCCCUGAGACUUUAAGUCUCCUGAAGGAACGUUGAAGACGACGACGUUGAUAGGCCGGGUGUGUAAGCGCAGCGAUGCGUUGAGCUAACCGGUACUAAUGAACCGUGAGGCUUAACCUUACAACGCCGAAG